AACGAACGCUGGCGGCGUGUUUAAGACAUGCAAGUCGCACGAGAAACCCUUGGAGCUUGCUUUAAAGGUUUCUAGUGGCGCACGGGUGAGUAACACGUGAGUUACAUGCCUCGCAGAGGGGAAUAGCCCGCCGAAAGGCGGAUUAAUACCCCAUGGUCCCGCAAGGGUAAAGGGGGCUUCGGCUCUCGCUGCGAGAUUGGCUCGCGUCCUAUCAGCUUGUUGGUGAGGUAACGGCUCACCAAGGCUUCGACGGGUAGCUGGUCUGAGAGGACGAUCAGUCACACUGGAACUGAGACACGGUCCAGACACCUACGGGUGGCAGCAGUCGAGAAUAAUUCACAAUGGACGAAAGUCUGAUGGUGCAACGCCGCGUGGAGGAUGAAGGUCCUCGGAUUGUAAACUCCUGUCAUCGGGGAGUAAGACCUGGCGGUAAAUAGCCGACAGGGUUGAUAGUACCCGAAGAGGAAGGGACGGCU
This 476-nucleotide ribosomal RNA is filed under the name uncultured bacterium. RNAcentral's name for it is "bacterial SSU rRNA". It matches the Rfam family "Bacterial small subunit ribosomal RNA", at positions 29 to 498 of the family's 1533-position model. The record is from RNAcentral.